ACGAACGCUGGCGGCGUGCCUAACACAUGCAAGUCGCACGAGAAAUCCUGGGCAACCGGGAAAGUAAAGUGGCGCACGGGUGAGUAACGCGUGGGUAACCUGCCCUUGAGUUGGGGAUAACCCCGCGAAAGCGGGGCUAAUACCGAAUAAUAUGUCAGUCUCUAUGGGGAUUGAAAUCAAAGGUAGCCUCUGCAUGCAAGCUAUUGCUCAAGGAUGGGCCCGCGUACCAUUAGCUUGUUGGUAGGGUAAUGGCCUACCAAGGCAACGAUGGUUAGCUG
This 278-nucleotide ribosomal RNA is filed under the name uncultured bacterium. RNAcentral's name for it is "partial 16S ribosomal RNA". It matches the Rfam family "Bacterial small subunit ribosomal RNA", at positions 29 to 289 of the family's 1533-position model. The record is from RNAcentral.